CGUAGGGACCGAGCGUUGUCCGGAUUCAUUGGGCGUAAAGAGCUCGUAGGCGGCUGCUCAAGUCGAAUGUGAAAACUCGAGGCUCAACCUCGAGCCUGCAUUCGAUACUGGGCGGCUAGAGUCUGGUAGGGGGAUCUGGAAUUCCUGGUGUAGCGGUGGAAUGCGCAGAUAUCAGGAGGAACACCGGUGGCGAAGGCGGGAUCCUGGGCCAGUACUGACGCUGAGGAGCGUAAGCGUGGGGAGCAAACAGGAUUAGAUACCCUGGUAGUCCACGCCGUAAACGAUGGGCGCUAGGUGUGGGAGGUCAUCGACUCCUUCCGUGCCGCAGCUAACGCAUUAAGCGCCCCGCCUGGGGAGUACGGCCGCAAGGCUA
Molecule: ribosomal RNA, 373 nt
Filed under: uncultured organism
Description: bacterial SSU rRNA
Rfam family: Bacterial small subunit ribosomal RNA
Source: RNAcentral